GUCUAUAGCCAUACCACCUUGAACAAGCCCAAUCUUGUCUGAUAUAGGAAUCUAAGUAGAGUUGGGCCUGGUUAGUAUUUGGAUAGGAGACUAUUAUUC
This 99-nucleotide ribosomal RNA is filed under the name Marmota marmota marmota (Alpine marmot). The record is from RNAcentral. Lineage: Eukaryota; Metazoa; Chordata; Mammalia; Rodentia; Sciuridae.